CGUAGGAAGCACCAAGUGUCGAAGACACAUUUAGAAUGGUGCUGACGAAUGUAUAUGAGGGGGGCAAUACCAAAC
Molecule: small RNA, 75 nt
Filed under: Coprococcus sp. CAG:782
Lineage: Bacteria; Bacillati; Bacillota; Clostridia; Lachnospirales; Lachnospiraceae
Description: GA-cis RNA
Rfam family: GA-cis RNA
Source: Rfam by way of RNAcentral